This is a non-coding RNA of Cinara cedri, 246 nucleotides long. NCBI's taxonomy places the organism in Eukaryota, Metazoa, Arthropoda, Insecta, Hemiptera, Aphididae. The record is from the annotation of a GenBank genome assembly.
UUAAUAUUUGUUUAAUGUUGUACCUGUUUUUCCCGGUUUUUCACAUUUGCAGGAAAAAGACCUGAGAAAAUCGAAAAAUGACUAUCUUUAAGCAGCUCUCUACACUGAUUUCUUUUCCGAAAAGGUGCUACACGUACAAAUCGGAGCAAGUCUUUUGGUAUUAGUAGAAAAGUAUUCCACAGAAAAAUAAAAUAAAAAUAAACAUUUUUGUAAAACCAUAAGAUUCUUCGCACCACUCAGGAUCUA